AGGAGUGUAGCUCAAUUGGUAGAGCACCGGUCUCCAAAACCGGGUGUUGUAGGUUCAAGUCCUAUCACUCCUGCCA
This 76-nucleotide transfer RNA is filed under the name Alphaproteobacteria bacterium. RNAcentral describes it as "tRNA-Trp". It matches the Rfam family "tRNA". From Rfam's summary of the family: Transfer RNA (tRNA) molecules are approximately 80 nucleotides in length. Their secondary structure includes four short double-helical elements and three loops (D, anti-codon, and T loops). The record is from RNAcentral. Lineage: Bacteria; Pseudomonadati; Pseudomonadota; Alphaproteobacteria.